RNAcentral lists this ribosomal RNA (428 nucleotides) under uncultured bacterium. RNAcentral's name for it is "partial 16S ribosomal RNA". It matches the Rfam family "Bacterial small subunit ribosomal RNA", at positions 354 to 796 of the family's 1533-position model. The record is from RNAcentral.
GUGGGGAAUAUUGCGCAAUGGGGGAAACCCUGACGCAGCAACGCCGCGUGAAGGAUGAAGGUUUUCGGAUUGUAAACUUCUUUUGUCGAGGACGAAACAAAUGACGGUACUUGACGAAUAAGCCACGGCUAACUACGUGCCAGCAGCCGCGGUAAUACGUAGGUGGCGAGCGUUGUCCGGCUUUCCUGGGUGUAAAGGGCGAGUAGGCGGAUGAGAAAGUCAGAUGUGAAAUACCGGGGCUUAACCCCGGGGCUGCAUUUGAAACUGCUUAUCUUGAGUGAUGGAGAGGCAGGCGGAAUUCCCGGUGUAGCGGUGGAAUGCGUAGAUAUCGGGAGGAACACCAGUGGCGAAGGCGGCCUGCUGGACAUUAACUGACGCUGAUGAGCGAAAGCGUGGGGAGCAAACAGGAUUAGAUACCCCUGUAGUCC